GCACUCUCAUCGACCAGAUUCUUCCGGUCCUCGCCGAUCGCGGCGAUGACCGUUUCC
Molecule: small RNA, 57 nt
Filed under: Sinorhizobium meliloti 2011
Lineage: Bacteria; Pseudomonadati; Pseudomonadota; Alphaproteobacteria; Hyphomicrobiales; Rhizobiaceae
Description: putative ncRNA
Source: RNAcentral